RNAcentral lists this long non-coding RNA (1546 nucleotides) under Coturnix japonica (Japanese quail). RNAcentral describes it as "lncRNA (ENSCJPG00005001862.1)". Lineage: Eukaryota; Metazoa; Chordata; Aves; Galliformes; Phasianidae. The record is from RNAcentral.
CCUCCCAACAUGGCGACCCCCCAACCAACAUGGCGGCCGACCCCCCCUCACCAAUAUGGCGACCCACACACAACAUGGCGGCCCCUUCAACAUGGCGACCCCACCACCAACAUGGCGACUGCCCUCCCUCCCCCAAUAUGGCGGCCAACCCGCCACCCCCAACAUGUCGGCCACCCCCCCACCCAACAUGGCGUCCCACCACCAACAUGGCUACCACCCCCCCAACAUGGCGGAUUCCCACCCCCAAUAUGGCGACCAUCACCCAACAUGGCGCCCACCCCACCCCCACCCCCAACAUGGCGACACCCCCCCCCAACAUGGCGGCGACCGUCAACAUGGCGACACCCCACCCCAAACAUGUUGACCCUCCCAACAUGGCGGCCGACCCCUCCCAACAUGGCGGCCGACCCCCCCACACAUGGCGGCCGACCCCCCCCGCCCCAACAUGGCGGCCACCCAGCCAACAUGGCCACUCAAUUCAGCUUUAAAUCGUUUCUCUUUUGUGGUGCAGCAAUAGAGACCCCCCCCCAUAGGGAUCCAUUUUAACCCCAUAGGACCCAUUGCAGCCCCAUAGGGACCCAUUGCAGCCCCAUUUUAGCCCCAUAGGACCCAUUUUAGCCCCAUAGAACCCAUAGGGCCCCAUUUUAGCCCCAUAGAACCCAUUGCAGCCCCAUAGGGCCCCAUUUUAGCCCCAUAGAAUCCAUAGGGACCCAUUGCAGCCCCAUAGAGCCCAUAGGGACCCAUUGCAGCCCUAUAGGACCCAUUGCAGCCCCAUACGGACCCAUUUUAGCCCCAUAGGGCCCCAUUUUAACCCCAUAGGGACCCAUUGCAGCCCCAUAGGACCCAUAGGGACCCAUUUUAGCCCCAUAGGGACACACUGCAGCCCCAUAGGACCCAUAGGGACCCAUUUUAGCCCCAUAGGGACCCACUGCAGCCCCAUAGGGACACACUGCAGCCCCAUAGGGCCCCAUUGCAGCCCCAUAGGGCCCUUUGCAGCCCUAUAGGACCCAUUGUAGCCCCAUAGGACCCUUAGGGACCCAUUGCAGCCCCAUAGGACCCAUUGCAGACCCAUAGAACCCAUAGGGCCCCAUUUUAGCCCCAUAGAACCCAUUGCAGCCCCAUAGGGCCCCAUUUUAGCCCCAUAGAACCCAUAGGGACCCAUUUUAGCCCCAUAGGGACCCAUUUUAGCCCCAUAGGACCCAUAGGGACCCAUUGUAGCCCCAUAGAACCCAUAGGGACCCAUUUUAGCCCCAUAGGGACCCAUUGCAGCCCCAUAGAACCCUCUGGCCCCGCCCCCUUCCUUUAAGCCCCGCCCCUUUUCCUGCGGGCGGGGGGAGUUGGGAGCGGGGUCAUUUCAGGACACCAGGCCCCCUCCCCCCCCGCCCUCUCAUUGGCUGUCGAUACGCCGCUUCCUAUUGGCUGCGGGCUCCACGGGGGGCGGGGCCGGCGGGGUUUAACCCCUGCGGUGCCGGAGGGAAUUUGGGGCUGGGACCUAUAGGGCUCUAUGGGGCUGGGACCUAUAGGGUUAUGGGGCUGAGACUAUAGG